GGAAAGCAGGAGGGAGGGGUGGGGGGUUAGUGUCAGGGCACCGUGACAGCUGGCUAUGGAGAGCAUGGUGGGAGGACCUCCCUUGGCACUACACAGGGUUUGAGCUACAAUUACUAUAAUGCUCAGCCAGCCUUAAAGUGGACAUUCUUAGCACGAUAACCACUUCAGAUAAUUAACCCCUUAGUGACCAGGCCGUUUGUCAAUUUUCUUACCAUUAAACCAGGGCUGUUUUUACAUUCUGCGGUAUUAUAUACUGAUCUAAUUUUUUAAGCCCUGAGGAUUAACUUUUCUUUAUUGUUUUAACCCUCAGGGGUUCAGUUAUUUCAUUAAUUAAUUUCAAUAUUUAAAACCUAU
Pelobates cultripes (western spadefoot toad) is the source of this 354-nucleotide non-coding RNA. The record is from the annotation of a GenBank genome assembly. NCBI's taxonomy places the organism in Eukaryota, Metazoa, Chordata, Amphibia, Anura, Pelobatidae.